Molecule: long non-coding RNA, 800 nt
Organism: Camelus dromedarius (Arabian camel)
Lineage: Eukaryota; Metazoa; Chordata; Mammalia; Artiodactyla; Camelidae
Exons: 2
Source: RefSeq, a predicted model, not a curated record
AGCAGAUCCCACAGAGGUAACUUGAAGUCUCACUUUUUCCCCCUAUUUUGCAAGGAUCUGGACCUGCUUCCUCCCACAGACAUGUUUUCCCUCCCAAGGCCACUUUGGGGCCCUGCCCUGGAGUUUCUAAUCCUACUCUCCUCUGAAAAUUGCCAUCUUUGGAGGAACCUGGCAAGUCAGAGCUCAAAGAGCCCUCAGAGCAGGGGCGUGGUGCAUUGGGGAACACGGGCACAAACAGGUAAUGGGGGCUUCCUCCCUCCCAGGCAGUGGACCUGCAGAGUCCACAUUCUGGCCAUAUACUACAUGGCCUCCGGGAGCCCAUGUUUAUUUUAUCCUCAAAGCAGUCUAGUCCAGGAGAAACUAUUACAAAACAAUCAAACUUUUGAAGAGGACUCAAAAAGCCUAACCUUAAGCCUUCUCUCAGUCCCCCAGAUCCUUGGUCACCCCAGAAGGUGAAGAAGAUACUUGGCUGGUCCCUCCCCCUGGACACUAGGCUCUUCAGAUUACAUUCCUGGCUAGGCUACGGAGGAGCCUGGCACCAUUUUUGAGAUUCGGAUGCUUGUGGAUCAGGCUACCUCUUAGAGGUUUUACAGGGGCACCAUGACCUGACCCACGUGGACAGCUACAAGAACAAAGAAUUCCUACAGCAAGAAGUUUGCAACAACCAACCACACCCCCUCCCCUUUUUAGUACACAAGGAGCCUGAAUUCUGACUUGAGGAAGAUGGUUCUCCAAGACAUGAGUCUGCCGUCUUCUCGGUCUGCAGGCUUUCCGAAUAAAGUCGCUAUUCCUUGCCCCAA